AUAAAUACAGAUCUCACUGUUCCAAUGCCUGAUACGGUGAUGGAGCAGGGAAGGGGAAGAACACAAAGAAAAUGAGAAAAAUAAGUGUUGGGAUAGAGUUAUAUCAGAAUAAAAACAACUUUUCUAGGAUAAAAAUAAUAUAACCCACAACAUGCCUACUCUCCUAGUCUAGUGGGGUAUAUAAUACCUUUUGAAAAACUAUUUGUCCUCAUAGACAGCUGUGCUGAAAAUACUGAAAAGCUAUAACAGAAAAUUCUAACAGAAAAGGGGAUCCAAUCCCUACAAAAGACAAAAGAGAUCCUUCUAGAUAUAAUCCUUUAACCAAAUGGGCCUGAAUGUCCUUCUAAUAGGCCUUGUGCUUGUGAGUCCCGUAUCAAUAGUCAACCCCUGCAGAGCAACCUUGUCCUCAAGGUUUUGGAUGGAUGAACUUGGCAGAGAAGUUGUGAUGGAGGACACAAUGGUAUAGGAACUAGGGGUGUGAGAGGUAAAACGGGGUGGUGUGCUUAUUGUUGGGUUAUUAUUGAUAGUGGGUGUUGGUUUUUGGGGGGGCAGG
Molecule: long non-coding RNA, 553 nt
Filed under: Phaseolus vulgaris (common bean)
Lineage: Eukaryota; Viridiplantae; Streptophyta; Magnoliopsida; Fabales; Fabaceae
Description: long non-coding RNA (PVUL_LNC003888)
Source: RNAcentral